UACGAAGGGGGCUAGCGUUGCUCGGAAUCACUGGGCGUAAAGCGCACGUAGGCGGCUUUGUAAGUUAGAGGUGAAAGCCCGGGGCUCAACCCCGGAAUUGCCUUUAAGACUGCAUCGCUAGAAUUGUGGAGAGGUAAGUGGAAUUCCGAGUGUAGAGGUGAAAUUCGUAGAUAUUCGGAAGAACACCAGUGGCGAAGGCGACUUACUGGACACAUAUUGACGCUGAGGUGCGAAAGCGUGGGGAGCAAACAGG
RNAcentral lists this ribosomal RNA (253 nucleotides) under uncultured bacterium. RNAcentral describes it as "partial 16S ribosomal RNA". It matches the Rfam family "Bacterial small subunit ribosomal RNA", at positions 524 to 776 of the family's 1533-position model. The record is from RNAcentral.